RNAcentral lists this long non-coding RNA (423 nucleotides) under Homo sapiens (human). RNAcentral's name for it is "LHRI_LNC1001.1". Lineage: Eukaryota; Metazoa; Chordata; Mammalia; Primates; Hominidae. The record is from RNAcentral.
UGAGUUCCUCAUGCCUCUGAAUCAACAGGCAAAGAAGAGAGUUAUGGUGCUGGCUGGGGUAAUUGAGUUUGAUCACCAACAGGAAACUGCUGCUCUGCAAUGGAGGGUCUGGCUCUGUUGCCGAGGCUGGAGCACAAGGUGUGACCUCAGCUCACUGCAACCUCCACCUCUCAGGAUCAAGCAAUCCUCCCGCCUCAUCCUCACGAGCAGCUGGGACUACAGACAUGCACCACCAUGUCGGCUAAUUUUUGUAAUUUUAAUAGAGACAGGGUUUUGCCAUGUUGCCCAGGCUGGUUUCGAACUCCUGUACUCAAGCUACACCUCUGCCUUAGCCUCCCACAAUGCUGGGAUUACAUGGGAGAGCUACCAUGCCCAGCCUGCACAUUAUGUUAUUUAAUCACUUUUUUGCUGAGCACAUAAUAG